UUGGAAUUAUUUGGGAUAAUUUGGGAUUAUUUGGGAUAAUUUGGGAUAAUUUGGGAUUCGGGGCCAGGCAGAGCCAGAGCUGCGUGUCCCUGUCCCUGUCCGUGUCCGUGUCCCUGUCCCUGUCCCUGUCCCUGUCCCUGCUCCGGGUGUCCUCUGGAUUUGGCUGGUUUGGAAUUCCCAGGAAUUCCUGGGAUCGGCCGCUCCGUGUCCAUCCGGCUCCUGAUGGGGACAUCCCGGUGUGGGGACAUCUGGGAAUGGGGACAUCCUGGAUUUGGGGACAUCCCGGAUUUGGGAAUCCCAGAUUUGAGGACAUCCCAGAUUUGGGGACAUCCCAGAUUUGGGGACAUCCCGGAUUUGGGGACAUCCCAGAUUGGGGACAUCCCAGAUUUGGGACCUCCUGGGUCAGGGCAUUCCGGUGCUGAAGCAUCCCAUGGUCGGGGCAUUCCAGGAUUGGAUCAUUCCAAUGUCGGAGCAUCUGAUGGAAUGUUCUGGUGUCGGAACGUUCCGGUGCUGGAUCCCUCUGACCUCGGAGCAUCCCCAGGGUGGAACAUUCCGGAAUGGGAACAUCCUGCUGCUCCCGGUGCUGGAGCGUUCCCGUAUCCGAGCAGCCCCGCCUGGGAUUUUCCUGGUGUUGGAGCCUCCUGCUGUGGGAUCAUCCCAGGAUCAGAGCGUCCCCACGGCGGAACAUUCCGGAACAUUCUGGUAUCGGAGCUUCCUGGUGCCGGAGCCUCCUGGUCCCAGAGCGACCCAGUCCUGGAUCAGUGUUGGAUCAUCCCAGUCCUGGAUCAUCCCAGUCCUGGAUCAGGGUUGGAUCAUCCCAGUGCCGCAGCAUCCCAGAGUUGGUGACAGUGAUGGAACAUCCCAGUGCCAGUUUAUCCCAGUGCCAGUUUAUCCCAGUGCCAGUCGAUCCCAGUCCUGCCCCAUCCCGGUCCCAGUCUAUCCCAGUAUCAGCCCAAUCCCAGUCCCAGUUUAUCCCAUUCCCAGCCCAUCCCAGUGCCGGCCCAUCCUGAGGGGAAACUGAGGCAGCUUGGGGGCGGAGCGGGUGGCAGUGGCAGUGUUGGGGUCCCGCUGCGCCCCCUGGAGGAUCGCGGGGGGGCCGCGUCCCCCCUUUGGGACCCCCAGGGACCCCCGUGGAACCCC
Molecule: long non-coding RNA, 1140 nt
Filed under: Cyanistes caeruleus (blue tit)
Lineage: Eukaryota; Metazoa; Chordata; Aves; Passeriformes; Paridae
Description: lncRNA (ENSCCEG00000005321.1)
Source: RNAcentral